Molecule: long non-coding RNA, 1087 nt
Organism: Salarias fasciatus (jewelled blenny)
Lineage: Eukaryota; Metazoa; Chordata; Actinopteri; Blenniiformes; Blenniidae
Exons: 4
Source: RefSeq, a predicted model, not a curated record
GGAAAAGGGCCACACCUCAGACUCUGCUCUUUCAGUUCUUCCUCUCUCUCCCAGUGGAACUUUCCAGAACUCCAGAACACAGCUGCGUUCCUGCUCUUGACUGUGACCUGCUGGAUUUUUGAGGACUCAGGUUCAGUCCAGAAAAUCAUCUCAGCUGUUUAAGGAGAAAAUGCUACUCUGACAUGUGAAGCUCUGAACAGCGAGACCAUCAGAGUGGACCAGACCGGGCCUGCAGAACCAGGAUGUUUUCUUAUUCAGAGACGGACACUCUGAGCCAGAUAAUCAUCCUUCUUAUGAGAACCGAGUGGAUCUGAAGGACAGAGAGAUGAAGGACGGAGACGUGAGUCUGAUCCUGAAGAACGUGACCUUCAAUGACCGUGGAACAUACAAGCGUUUCAUUGUCCAGAGAGGAGAAAAUAUCAAGAGGUUCACCAGCUUCUCUCUCAGUGGUUCCUCCAGAGAUGGAGACGUCCACUGGGAGACGGUUGACGGUCUGCAGGUCAAUGGUGAUGCGUCACGGUGAUGUCACUUCCCCCUCCCGUCAGGAGGACGCUUCCUGUCCAUCCCGGAGCUGAAGGCGGGUAAGAAGAGCGUCCAUGGCGCUUGAUUGGUCGUCCAGGUCGUCCCACCCUGGAGCCGCAGCGACCUGUGCUUCUCCUUCUCCCAUUGGCUGAUGGGGUGUCAGGUGGGCGUGUUGCAGCUGUUCGUCAGGAGGACAGGACGAGACUGAAGGUUGACUGUAUGUCUGUUGUUUUGUUGAAUAAAAUAAAAAAAGUGUAAAAAACACGGCCUCUGGCGGUAUUUCUUUUACGUGUGUUUGUCCUUACUCUCAUUCUCAUGCGCUUGUUAACGCCAUCAGUCAGAGGUCAAGUUCAGAGUACACGUCUGUUUUUUUCUUUUCAAAAAUAAUCUUUAUUGAAUAAUGCAAUACAGUAGGAGUGUAAAACCAUACUGCAUCAUGAAUCAUACUCCCAGCACAACCCUGUCUCCACAAAAUUACGUUCUGACAAAACUAAACUGCAUUCUCAAAUACGUUUCAGAGGAACUUAUUCUGUCCCUUAUUAUGUUCGUCUUCAACAUAUCUUUU